RNAcentral lists this long non-coding RNA (709 nucleotides) under Cricetulus griseus (Chinese hamster). RNAcentral's name for it is "lncRNA (ENSCGRG00015041803.1)". The record is from RNAcentral. Lineage: Eukaryota; Metazoa; Chordata; Mammalia; Rodentia; Cricetidae.
GUGUGUGUGUGUGUGUGUGUGUGUGUGUGUGUGUGUGUGUGUGUGUGUGUGUGUUGGUCCCCUUGAGCGACAAGUAGAAGUGGCCUUGCUCGCCUCCAGAGCCAGGUCCUUGGUCCCCCGGAGUUCCAGACUGCCCCGCUGGAGUUAGCGUCUGCAUUUUGUCCUAAACCUGCAAGUAUUCACGACUUUGUUCACCAUGUUAAGUCAUCCCUCGCCAUGACUAUGGAAGAAGUAAAGUCACCUCGCCUGGCGAUGGCUCAAGUCUAUCUACUGUCUGGAGAAUGGAAUCAGGGACAUUUUUGAAGGUCUGUGGUUGGAAGGAUCUGGGAUCCUGCCGUGAAGGUCAAGAUGACCAGCAAAUGAGAGGUGAAGUAAGAUGCUGGAAACCUGAUCUAUGCUUCAGGUUUUUGGACGAAGUCUAACUGGCAGCCCUGGAGCAUCAGGAGUUCAAGGAUAGACUGUGUUCACACAGGAGAUAGUAUCACAAAACACACAUACAAACAAAAGACCAAGGCUGGGGAUAUGGCCCAGCAAUCAGGAGCACACGUUCUUGCCAAGAACUUGAGUUUGGUCCCCAGAACCCACACGGGUGGCUGGAAACCAUCUGUAAUUACAAUUCUAGGGCACCCAACACCCUCUUCUAAUUUCCAGGGGAACAUAUGUACAAGCGAAACACUUAUGCACAUGAAAUAAAUCUUUAAAAAACUAU